Small nucleolar RNA from Pteronotus mesoamericanus, 133 nucleotides. RefSeq annotates it as small nucleolar RNA SNORA8. Lineage: Eukaryota; Metazoa; Chordata; Mammalia; Chiroptera; Mormoopidae. The record is from RefSeq and is a predicted model, not a curated record. The transcript has a single exon.
UGCACUCCAUGGUACCUGCAUCCAGCAGUUGAUUCCUGCUGGGUGUUCAAAGGAUAGUGUAAUAAAUUCAGUGUCUGGUAUCAUUGGUUUUCUUGGCUUUGUGCAUGUUAAACCUGGUGUUUUUGAAACAGCA